This 494-nucleotide ribosomal RNA is filed under the name uncultured bacterium. Its description in RNAcentral is "bacterial SSU rRNA". It matches the Rfam family "Bacterial small subunit ribosomal RNA", at positions 30 to 517 of the family's 1533-position model. The record is from RNAcentral.
AUUGAACGCUGGCGGAAUGCUUUACACAUGCAAGUCGAGCGGCAGCGCGGGGCAACCUGGCGGCGAGCGGCGAACGGGUGAGUAAUACAUCGGAACGUGCCCAGACGUGGGGGGAUAACUACUCGAAAGAGUGGCUAAUACCGCAUACGAUCUACGGAUGAAAGCGGGGGAUCGCAAGACCUCGCGCGUCUGGAGCGGCUGAUGGCAGAUUAGGUAGUUGGUGGGAUAAAAGCCUACCAAGCCAACGAUCUGUAGCUGGUCUGAGAGGAUGAUCAGCCACACUGGGACUGAGACACGGCCCAGACUCCUACGGGAGGCAGCAGUGGGGAAUUUUGGACAAUGGGCGAAAGCCUGAUCCAGCCAUUCCGCGUGCAGGAUGAAGGCCCUCGGGUUGUAAACUGCUUUUGUACAGAACGAAAAAGACUCUGGCUAAUACCUGGAGUCCAUGACGGUACUGUAAGAAUAAGCACCGGCUAACUACGUGCCAGCAGCCG